Molecule: ribosomal RNA, 477 nt
Filed under: Veillonella parvula
Lineage: Bacteria; Bacillati; Bacillota; Negativicutes; Veillonellales; Veillonellaceae
Description: bacterial SSU rRNA
Rfam family: Bacterial small subunit ribosomal RNA
Source: RNAcentral
GACGAACGCUGGCGGCGUGCUUAACACAUGCAAGUCGAACGAAGAGCGAUGGAAGCUUGCUUCUAUCAAUCUUAGUGGCGAACGGGUGAGUAACGCGUAAUCAACCUGCCCUUCAGAGGGGGACAACAGUUGGAAACGACUGCUAAUACCGCAUACGAUCUAAUCUCGGCAUCGAGGAUAGAUGAAAGGUGGCCUCUACAUGUAAGCUAUCACUGAAGGAGGGGAUUGCGUCUGAUUAGCUAGUUGGAGGGGUAACGGCCCACCAAGGCGAUGAUCAGUAGCCGGUCUGAGAGGAUGAACGGCCACAUUGGGACUGAGACACGGCCCAGACUCCUACGGGAGGCAGCAGUGGGGAAUCUUCCGCAAUGGACGAAAGUCUGACGGAGCAACGCCGCGUGAGCGAUGACGGCCUUCGGGUUGUAAAGCUCUGUUAAUCGGGACGAAAGGCCUUCUUGCGAAUAGUGAGAAGGAUUGACG